Nannospalax galili (Upper Galilee mountains blind mole rat) is the source of this 3156-nucleotide long non-coding RNA. RefSeq lists it as uncharacterized. The record is from RefSeq and is a predicted model, not a curated record. The transcript is spliced from 2 exons. NCBI's taxonomy places the organism in Eukaryota, Metazoa, Chordata, Mammalia, Rodentia, Spalacidae.
UCAGAGAUCCGCCUGUCUCUGCCUCCAGGGUGCUGGGAUUAAAGGCGUGCGCCACCACGCCCGGCAAUUUAAAAAAAAGAUAUUUACUCUUUCUUAAUACCAGGAACCAUAAAAUAGCAUGUUGUAAGAAGUUGGACUUCGUUUGUUCCAAGUAACCCAAGCAUGAGUCUGUGUUGUCUCAGACCCCUCCAAAGGAGGGCCUAAGAUCAUAAGGAACAAAAUACAGCAGGCAUAUUUCCCAGGCUGCCUGAGAAAGCAGUGUCUGUUUGCUGCUCAAGACACCAUGUACAUUGUUAGUGCUCCUUACAAUAGUUGGGAAAGGCAGAGGCAAGGGAAGAGCUUGGUGAACAAUGUGAGGAACCACAAUCAGAGAUAAUCAGAUUUCAUGAUAUUCACAAGGAACCUACAAUUGCAGAUAAUCUGAUUUCAUCCUAUCAAGAGUCUUGAUAUGCAAAGUCAAACGAAAUGCAAUGUUUUUUUGAGGUGUCAUCUUCUUAAGUGGGUUGUUUUUUAUAAUUUUAAAAUUUACAUGUGUCAAGCUGGGUGUGGUGGCACACGCUUUACUCCCAGUACUUGGGAGGCCGAGGCAGUUCGAUUUCUGUGAGAUCAAGGUCAGCCUGGUCUAUAUAGAGAGCUUCAGGCUGGCUAUAUGGAGAUCCUAUCUCCCAAAACCAAAACAACAACAAAAAGAAAGUAAAAUUACAUGCUUCUAUUUUUUGUGUGUUUGCAUGUAGGUGUGUAUGCCAUGGCACAUGUGUGGAGGUCAGAGGACUACAUAUGGGAGUUGGUUCUCUCCUUCCACAAAUUAGAUUCUGGGGACUGAACUCAGGUCAUCAGGUUUGGUGGCAAGUACCUUUACCUGCUUGAGUCAUCUUGCCUGUCCUUGGGUGAGCGUCUAAUUAGACUAUAUUUCUAUGUUUCCUUGUAACCAGACCACCAUCAAACAACUGUUUGUUCUGUCCUCCAUCAGUAAAUCUUACCAUACAGAGAAUUCAUCUUCAGCUUGAGGCAGUUAUUGGAGUUAAGAAUACAAAUGGUGUGUUUCUAUUUACACAGCAGUUUUUUUGUGAAUCCUACAGGUUGAACAGAGAACUGGUUGUUCCUUGUUAGCAAGUGCACUUAGAAAACACAAGAGUGACUAGGCGAAUAACCUCUGUACACGGAGUUGAAUCAAAGAAUGUUAGAAAAGUCAGCAGUUCAUUUACCUGAGUUUCUCAUUUAAAGGCCAAAUAGCAAUCGAAUGCUUUUUACUCAAGAAUGUGAACAAAAACUUACAAUAUUAAAAAGGACCAGAGUCAGAAAAUUUCAACUCCUCAAAGUUAAGUUUGAGGCUUUGGAAGUUUUAUAAAAUCUAAUAGAAAGAUUAUGAAUUUUCCUCUUAUUUAAAACAUAAAGUCACAGAAUUAUGCUGAUUUAUGGAAUGUUAUUUACAACUCAGGUUGGGGGUUAGCCUGCAAAAUCACUAUGAAAACAAGUCAAAUUAUUUUGGAAGUUUGAACAAGUGAUAAAAUCGAAUGAUUGGUGAUUUAUUUCAGUUAUGAACAUGAGAUUAUUAGCUAAUGCCAGAUGAAGAUUUCAGCAUAAAUAUGGUAACUUGAAUAAAUCCCUUUUGAAGGAUGAUAUAGAAAAUAGUCAUAAAUUUUAACCAUAAGAACAGUGCGUUCAUUGUCUCAGUUUACUUUUUAAUACUAAGUUACUCAUGGUCAAUAACAGAUAAUUUGCCAAUAAAUUGUUUCUUUAAAACAAAUAGGGUUGUAUUUCAGAAUACGACACAUUGCUCUUAUUCAGAACCCCAAUAUUCAGAAAUUAAAUACUUUUCUGUGUUAAGAAUGACAGUCAUGCUAGUAUUUCAAAAUAUUUCAAUUCUAGGUCUAAAUAAAUCAUGACUCAGAAACCUUAGAACAGAAAACGUGUUUUUUUUUUUUCAGUGCCGAGACUGAACUCAGACCCUAGAGCAUGCUGGGCAAACACUUUCUCACUGAGCUGCAUCCUCAUAGCUCUGUAUCUUUACAUUCACAGCUCAGGUGAGGUCCACGUGUCUGCCGAGUGGCCUCCAGAGCUGCCCUCUGCAUACUGCCCAAAGCAACACUGGGCAGCCCUUUUAAAAAACAGUGUUCAGAAACCUCACAUCAUCUUUCUACUUUCUUUCAUUGUUAUAUUAAUUUUUUUCUUAGACCAAUCGUGUAACUACUUAACUCAAGAUCCCAUACUAUACUUUAUUUUAAGAAUACAAAGGUAAAUAAAAGCUUUGCUGACCAUCAGGCAAGAAUUCUUGCUAAGUGACAAUAUUUUGCAGUUUAUUCACAUUUCUGAAAAUGGAAGAGGACUGUCUUAAGUGAGAUAGGAUUUCCUGAGAGCAGAACAGUCCCUGUGUCUCUGUUUCUGACUUUGGCAGCCAGGACAGGCUUGCAGGAAACUGAUGACUCUACAUAUGUAUAUAUGUGGGCUACUUUGUUCAGCAGGCAGAAAUAGAUUCUAUUAUCACUGUGCAGGGCCCAAGGAAGGGAUGGGGCCUGAGUGGAAGAUAUUAGCUCUUUAACAGAGUGCUUUAGUAGCAAAAUUUUUUCCCAUCUGAUGCAUUCGUAUAUCAAGAUUUCAAAAAUGAUUAAAUUACUCAAAAACAGGCUUCUAAUUCUAUGAUUUAAAAUUUAAUUAUCUACUAGAAUAUUAAAAUAAAUCUAAUUUCCCUAGGGCUGUUCUCCAUUACCACAUAGCAGUACUGAGGUGGAAGGGGGGGAAAUCUACUGAAUUUUUAAAUAUUUCUUUAGGAUGUUGGUAAAAAUGCAAAUCAGUUAAACAAUAAAUGAUACACGAAAGGAUGGGAACCACUGAGGAUUGCUUUCUUUACCCACAUAUAAAAGCCUGGCUAAAGAAAACUGAAACUGUCAUGCAGGGGAAAUAAUACCAUUAAUGGUGUUGGCAGCAGGGGCCGGGGCUUAAAAAUAAUACCCUGUGACAAUGCACUUACAUGAACUUCCACUCUAGAGAAGAGCAUUCUAUAGAAUGAAAAGCCUCGGCCAAUGAAGAAAGCAACUGAUGUUAACAUAACUGGCACAGACUCCUUGGUACACACAGUGAAAACAAAAAUAAAGAGCCUGGACAGGUGUAAACAAGCUAAAAACAGCACUGGCAAAAUAUCUUCACCCAUUUAAAAUA